AUAAAUUCUAAACCUAAUAGAAUUCCUACAUAAUAAAUAUCUAAACUUCCUAAUUCUACAAUGGCUAUAAUUUCUAAGUUUCAUCCCCUUCCAUUACUGCGUCACUGCCCUAAUGGACCCUAAGGGUAUUCAUCUACAUAAUAUUUUUCAGUCUUUCUAGUCAAUAGUUUUCAGUGCUUCUUAAAUAUGAGCCUAGUGUGUUUCUGCUUGAAUACAAUAUGAUAAUUAUAUGCUAGUCUUCCUAAGAUGCUUGUAUCUAAUGUAAAUUAUUAUGUGACUUGAACUCCCUAAUUAUGAAGUACACUGUAUGGUUCAGAUUCCGAA
Molecule: unclassified non-coding RNA, 324 nt
Filed under: Hevea brasiliensis (rubber tree)
Lineage: Eukaryota; Viridiplantae; Streptophyta; Magnoliopsida; Malpighiales; Euphorbiaceae
Source: RNAcentral